Molecule: transfer RNA, 82 nt
Filed under: Zoogloeaceae bacterium
Lineage: Bacteria; Pseudomonadati; Pseudomonadota; Betaproteobacteria; Rhodocyclales; Zoogloeaceae
Description: tRNA-Leu
Rfam family: tRNA
About the family: Transfer RNA (tRNA) molecules are approximately 80 nucleotides in length. Their secondary structure includes four short double-helical elements and three loops (D, anti-codon, and T loops). Further hydrogen bonds mediate the characteristic L-shaped molecular structure. tRNAs have two regions of fundamental functional importance: the anti-codon, which is responsible for specific mRNA codon recognition, and the 3' end, to which the tRNAs corresponding amino acid is attached (by aminoacyl-tRNA synthetases). tRNAs cope with the degeneracy of the genetic code in two manners: having more than one tRNA (with a specific anti-codon) for a particular amino acid; and 'wobble' base-pairing, i.e. permitting non-standard base-pairing at the 3rd anti-codon position.
Source: RNAcentral
GCGCGGGUGGCGGAAUUGGCAGACGCACUGGAUUUAGGCUCCAGCGCCUUACGGCAUGCGGGUUCAAGUCCCGCCCCGCGCA